ACAGAGGGGGCAAGCGUUGUUCGGAAUUACUGGGCGUAAAGGGCGCGUAGGCGGCCUUCUAAGUCGAACGUGAAAUCCCCGGGCUCAACCUGGGAAUUGCAGUCGAGACUGCUCGGCUAGAGUGUGGGAGAGGGUGGUGGAAUUCCCGGUGUAGCGGUGAAAUGCGUAGAUAUCGGGAGGAACAUCAGUGGCGAAGGCGACCGCCUGGCCCAACACUGACGCUGAGGUGCGAAAGCGUGGGUAGCAAACAGGA
This 253-nucleotide ribosomal RNA is filed under the name uncultured prokaryote. RNAcentral describes it as "partial 16S ribosomal RNA". It matches the Rfam family "Bacterial small subunit ribosomal RNA", at positions 525 to 777 of the family's 1533-position model. The record is from RNAcentral.